This 497-nucleotide ribosomal RNA is filed under the name uncultured bacterium. RNAcentral describes it as "partial 16S ribosomal RNA". It matches the Rfam family "Bacterial small subunit ribosomal RNA", at positions 28 to 507 of the family's 1533-position model. The record is from RNAcentral.
GACGAACGCUGGCGGCGUGCCUAAUACAUGCAAGUCGAGCGAACAGAUGCUGAGCUUGCUGCUCUGACGUUUGCGGCACACGGGUGUGUAACGCGUGUAUAACCUACUUAUAAUUCGGGUAUAUCUUCGGGAAUCCGGAUCUAAUACCGUAUAAUAUACUGAACCACGUGGGUCGAUGGUGAAAUUCGGUUGUGCGGUCUCUUCUCGCGGGUUCCCGGCCGUAUUAGCUAGUUGGUAAGUUACCGGCCUAUGAAGGCAACGAUGCGUAGGCGACGGGAGAGGGUGAUAGGCCGCAUUGGAAGUGAGACGCGGUCCAGAGUCCUGAGGGAGGGAGCAGUAGGGAAUCUUCCGCAAUGGGCGAAAGCCUGACGGAGUGACGCCACGUCAGAGAUGAAGGUCUUCGGAUCGUAAUGCUGUGUUAUGAGGUAAAAACAGAUGUGGAAGUAAACAUGCCCGUCUUGACGGUAAUGGAUAAGAAAGCAACGGCUAACUACGUG